CUAUGAUCUCAGAUCAGACGUAGCAACCAGCUGAAUUUAAGCAUAUUAGUAAGUGGAUGAAAAGAAACUAAACAGGGCUCCUCAGUAACUGCGAGUGAGAAGGAAGAGCCCAGCAUUGAAUCCCCAUCUGCCAGCAGGUACAGGAAAUGUGCCGUACAGAAGACUGACUCCCCAGCUUCACUCAGGAUGCCCAAGUCCUUUUGAUCAAGCUUAACCCACGGCCGGUGGUAGGCAGGUAGCGGCACACCCUGCACCGGUUUUGGGACUUCUUGGAGUCAAGUUGUUUUGAAAUGCAGCCCAAAGCAUGUGGUUAACUCCAUCUAAGCCUAAAUACAGGCGUGAGCCCAAUAGCCAACAAGUACCGUAAUUGAAAGUUGCAAAGAACUUUGAAGCAAGAAAACAAGAUUGUGUGAAACCGACAAUAGGUAAACAGGUGGGUCCGUGCAAUCUGCCAGGAGGAUUCAAUACAGCGGACAUGUCUGUCACCCAGAACAGCAGAAGCCCUUGCUGGACCUCUGCCUGGGUGCACCCAACCCCCAAACAGGUCGGCUGGGAAGGCCCUGGGGGCAGGUGGUUCUUGGCUAUGCAGAGAGUGUUACAGCCCACUGGCAGCAGUUUCAACGAGUCCACGGGCCAAGGAGAUUGACCACCACCACGCCCUCCUCCAGCAACUGUCUGGGAACCUCUUGUGUGUUGCUAGGAUGGCGACAGCAGACGGGGCCCCCUGCUCUUGGUGUGAUUGUCGACUGGCUGGACUGUCCUAAGUGAACCUCUACUGCUGCCAGGCAGGUGGCCCACGAAGGGCACCAGGCAUCUGAGGUGAUGUUGGUUACCCACCUUACCCGUCUUGAAACAUGGACCAAGGAGUGUAACAUGUGCGCGAGUUGGAGGGCCGAAUGAAACCCUGUAGCCCAAUGAAGAUGAGAGCCAGUGCGAGCUGGCUGAGGUGGGAUUGCAUCGUGGCAGGAACACCACCAGCCUGUUUGACCCACUCUGUUGGGGAGGUGGAGCAUGAGCGUGUGUGAUAGGACCCGAAAGAUGGUAAACUAUGCCUGGGAAAGGCAAAGCCAAAGGAAAGUCUGGUCGAGGUCCAUAGCGGUCCUGCAAAUUGGUCAACCCGCCUGGCUAUAAGGGUGAAAGACUAAUCAAAUCAUAUAGUAUCUGGUUCCCUUUGAAGUUUCCUUCAGGAUUGCUGGUCCACAGAAACCCAGUUUUAUCUGGUAAAGCGAAUGAUUAGAGUCUUGGGGCAGAAAUUAUCUUAACCAAUUCAUUGAACGGCGAAGAUGCCCGGAUUUCUGGCAUGGAGCUGGGCUUCCAAUGUGAGUGCCCAAUGGGCCAGUUUGGUAAGCAGAACUCGUGCUGCAGGGUAAACCAAAUGGUGGGUCAAGGCAAUUAAGAUGUUGGUUGAUAUAGAUAGCAGGAUGGUGGCCAUAGAAGCUGGAAUCUGCUAAAGAGUGUGUAACAACUCAACUGCUGAAUAGACAAGACCUGAAAAUGGAUGGUUUUCAAUGGGAUCCACCCAUUGCCUGCACUAAGAGCCGUGUGGGCAUACGUCACGAUGAGUAACGGGCCCACUGUAGUGUGCAUGGAUGCUUGGGGCAAGGGCCCGUGUGGAGCUGCACCAGGUGCAGAUGUUGGUGGUAGUAGCAAAUAUUCAAAUGAGAACUUUGAAGGCCAAAGUGGUGAAGGGUUACAUGUGAAGAGUAGUUGAACAUGGGUCAGUCGAGCCUAAGAGAUGGGUGAGCACCGUUCCGAAGGGACGGGCGAUUACCUGAAUUACCCUCAGCCGAUUGAAAGGGAGUCCGGUUCAGAUCCCAAACGGGCACCCUCAUGGUGUCCAGUGCAGUAACGCACACAUUCCCGAAGAAGCCAGCGGUCGCCCCAGGGAGAGUUCUCUUUUCUUGGAAAGGCAGGGCACCCUGGAAGGGGUUUGCCCCGAGAGAAGGCCCCAGGACUUGCAUCCAGUGAGCUCUUGCUGGCCCUUUAAUGUCUGGAGGAGAUGAUGUAAAUCUCACGCCGUGUGAUACUCAUAUCCGCAGAAUGUUCCAAGGGAAUAAUGUAGGUAUGGAAGUCAGCAAGUCAGAUCUUUAACUUCUGGAUAAGGAUUGGCUCUAAGGGCUGGGUUGGUCAGGCUGGGUGCGAAGCCAAGCUCUUCCUAUGGAUCAUCCAAGCUGCAAUGGUCGUCUUUCUCCUUACCCCUCUUUGGAGUUGGGGCAGGCGUUCUGCCUAGACCGAUGCCUAGCAGCUGACUUAGAACUGGUGCAGAAAUGGGAAUCUGACUGUGUAAUUCAGACAAAUCACUGAAAGACCUGUGGCGGGUGUUGAUGCAAUGUGAUUUCUGCCCAGUGCUCUGAAUACUAAAGUGAAGAAAUUCAAUGAAACGCAUGUAAAUGGCAGGGGUAACUAUUACUCUCUUAAGGUAACCAAAUGCCUCAUCAUCUAAUUAGUGUUGCGCAUGAAUGGAUGAAUGAGAUUCCCACUGUCUGUCCCUAUGUCCCGUGAAACAACAGUCAAAGAAACCUGCUUGGCAGAAUCAGCAGGGAAAGGUGACUAAGUUGAUCUUGAUUCUAGUCUUGCACUGUGCUGAUACAUGAGAGGUGUAGGAAAAGUUGGAGGCACUCGGGCCGCCAGUGAGUUACCACUACUCUUAAUGUUGGCGGAGAGGGAGUCCCAUGGUGGGUCUUGCAUCUGGCUCCAAGAGCCUGGUACCUGCCAGGCGUGGCCCACUCCAGGGACAGUGGCAGGUGGAGUUUUAAUUGGAUGGCACACCUGUCAAACGGUAAUGCCGAUGUCCUAAGGUGAGCUCCAGGAGGACAGAAACCUUCUGCAUAGCAGAAGGGCAAAAACUUUCUUGAUCGUGUUUAUCAGUACAAAUACAGACUUUGAAAGUAGGGCCUCACAAUCCUUCUGAUUUAAGGGGUUUCAAGCAGGAGGUAUCAGAAAAGUUAAAUCCCGGACACAGCACGGUGGACUUCAGGCAAGCAUGACCUCAUGACUGCUCAGCCAUCUGAUCUGGGCAGACCGAACCGGGCCAUAUGGUCCUUCGGCUGGGGCUGACUGGCCAUCUGUUCGGACGGUCGGACCAGAUGGACUGAGUGAUAGCUUG
RNAcentral lists this ribosomal RNA (3106 nucleotides) under Ambystoma mexicanum (axolotl). RNAcentral describes it as "eukaryotic LSU rRNA". It matches the Rfam family "Eukaryotic large subunit ribosomal RNA". The record is from RNAcentral. Lineage: Eukaryota; Metazoa; Chordata; Amphibia; Caudata; Ambystomatidae.